ACAUUAGAGUUUGAUCCUGGCUCAGAUUGAACGCUGGCGGCAUGCCUUACACAUGCAAGUCGAACGGCAGCACGGGAGCAAUCCUGGUGGCGAGUGGCGAACGGGUGAGUAAUACAUCGGAACGUGUCCUGUAGUGGGGGAUAGCCCGGCGAAAGCCGGAUUAAUACCGCAUACGACCUACGGGUGAAAGCAGGGGAUCGCAAGACCUUGCGCUAUUGGAGCGGCCGAUAUCAGAUUAGCUAGUUGGUGGGGUAAAAGCUCACCAAGGCGACGAUCUGUAGCUGGUCUGAGAGGACGACCAGCCACACUGGGACUGAGACACGGCCCAGACUCCUACGGGAGGCAGCAGUGGGGAAUUUUGGACAAUGGACGCAAGCCUGAUCCAGCCAUGCCGCGUGCGGGAAGAAGGCCUUCGGGUUGUAAACCGCUUUUGUCAGGGAAGAAAAGUCUGGGGCUAAUAUCCCCGGAUGAUGACGGUACCUGAAGAAUAAGCACCGGCUAACUACGUGCCAGCAGCCGCGGUAAUACGUAGGGUGCAAGCGUUAAUCGGAAUUACUGGGCGUAAAGCGUGCGCAGGCGGUUCUAUAAGACAGAUGUGAAAUCCCCGGGCUCAACCUGGGAACUGCAUUUGUGACUGUAGAGCUGGAGUACGGCAGAGGGGGAUGGAGUUCCGCGUGUAGCAGUGAAAUGCGUAGAUAUGCGGAGGAACACCGAUGGCGAAAGGCAA
Molecule: ribosomal RNA, 727 nt
Filed under: uncultured bacterium
Lineage: Bacteria
Description: bacterial SSU rRNA
Rfam family: Bacterial small subunit ribosomal RNA
Source: RNAcentral